UGUCAGCAUCCUCGCUGGUCGGAGCCCCGCCGGCCGUCGGCGUACUCCCCGUUGCCACGUCGCGCCCCUCCCAACUCUCAUCGCCACACCGUCCCGCAAGAUGGGAUCCGCCAUGUCAAGAAGAACUGAUCCUGAUGCAUCAGAUCUCAUGAAGUAAAUCUCGAUGGUGGGGGAGAAGGAGAGAAUACAUUAAUCAGAUUAUAAUAUUGUCAAAUCGACGUGGGCUAUAACCAAACAUCACUGUCAUUUUUUUUCUUUCAGCAAACAGCCACAGAUGAUCUUUUGCAAGUGAAAAGAAUACAUAUUUAUAAGGAGCAAUCAAUGUGGGACCAAUACAAGGAUUUAGAGGACAAAACUAAUUAUAUGGACAGAUUAUAACAGGUUUUAUAUCGGAAAUAAUCUUGAAACGUGCAAGGGAAA
This is a non-coding RNA of Aegilops tauschii subsp. strangulata, 420 nucleotides long. Lineage: Eukaryota; Viridiplantae; Streptophyta; Magnoliopsida; Poales; Poaceae. The record is from RefSeq and is a predicted model, not a curated record.